This 481-nucleotide ribosomal RNA is filed under the name uncultured bacterium. Its description in RNAcentral is "partial 16S ribosomal RNA". It matches the Rfam family "Bacterial small subunit ribosomal RNA", at positions 28 to 507 of the family's 1533-position model. The record is from RNAcentral.
GAUGAACGCUGGCGGCGUGCUUAACACAUGCAAGUCGAACGAAGCACUUUAUUUGAUUUCCUUCGGGACUGAUUAUUUUGUGACUGAGUGGCGGACGGGUGAGUAACUCGUGGGUAACCUGCCUUGUACAGGGGGAUAACAGUUGGAUACGGCUGCUAAUACCGCAUAAGCGCACAGCAUCGCAUGAUGCAGUGUGAAAAAGUCCGGUGGUAUAAGAUGGACCCGCGUUGGAUUAGCUAGUUGGUGCGGUAACGGCCCACCAAGGCGACGAUCCAUAGCCGGCCUGAGAGGGUGACCGGCCACAUUGGGACUGAGACACGGCCCAAACUCCUACGGGAGGCAGCAGUGGGGAAUAUUGCACAAUGGGCGAAAGCCUGAAGCAGCGACGCCGCGUGAGCGAAGAAGUAGUUCGGGAUGUAAAGCUCUAUCAGCAGGGAAGAUAAUGACGGUACCUGACGAAGAAGCACCGGCUAAAUACGUG